This 4732-nucleotide long non-coding RNA is filed under the name Monomorium pharaonis (pharaoh ant). Its description in RNAcentral is "uncharacterized LOC105834018". The record is from RNAcentral. Lineage: Eukaryota; Metazoa; Arthropoda; Insecta; Hymenoptera; Formicidae.
CUUGCGUUAUCUUUGUUCAAAAUAUGGUCCUUGAGUGUGAAUUGAUGUGUUAACCAAGAUUAGAUUAGGUUAGGUUUUUCAUGAAAGCGACAAAGUGUCGAGAGUUGCCGUAUGCGUGUCGCAAGAUGGCAAUAAAAUGUCCGUAAUGUUUGCAAGAAUUACCAUACGCGUGUCGCGAGAUGUGCUUGUAGUAUGACUUAGAAUAAAGGGGAAGGUGUGAAAAAGUGAUCAACCGUAUAGGCUCUGGGAAAAUGAUCGUGCGGAAAUAAUUCCUGCAUACUUGAUUGGUAGAAAAGUUGAACUGUUUUGCCGAAAUCAGUCACAUCACUUGAGCCUGUCUUACGAAAGGUGUUGCCGUAAUUGAAGCAGAAAGCCGCCAUUUUAUGGCUCAAACAUUUCAGCUUCCAAAGCAGCGCAUUCGGCAACUCGCAUAAACGCAUAGGAAAUACCGGACGCGCCAACAUACAGCCCACCGUUGGCUUCCGCGCGAUCAGGUGGCUCCUUGUCAACGAUACGCUGUAAAAUCUUGCGACUAAAGGAGUCAGAUUCUCGCAAGGACGUCACUUCUCCCCUAUAUAAACUAUUUUACUAACAGAACUAACCUUUCUUAUAAGUAACGCACGUAAAUGUCUUCUAUCUAAAAGAACAAACCUAAGAAAUACGAUCAAACUCGGAUGACCACGUUCAGAAGGCCAAAAUAAUAAAUCCCUAGAUACUAUAAUUUUGGACCUAAUUCAAACUAUUAAAUAUUAUUGGAUCUCGCUCUUAUAAUAACAUAAGAAGGGACUUCUCCACCAAAGAGAAUCCAUUGGAACUUACUAUUUCGGAACUAUACAGAUUCUCACUAGAACCACUCCCUUGAUGACUCAUCCUAAAUCUCCCGACAAACGACUAUUCCUCCUUCUCCAUUACCUUUCCAAAUCCUUAUGAUCCAAUAAUAAAUCUGCAAUCUAAGACGAUAUCCCAAUAUAACGAAAAGUAUAAUAGUUAUACUUUCGACAUAUCGAGACCAAGCACUCGUGGCAAUCUUGAACGACUUUGAAAUACGCUAAAGUCAUUAUAAAAUGACCUGAAAAUAUACAAAGUCGCUAGCACGCUGAGGGUCUGUUGUAAGGAACUGCAUACGUCGUUAUGUAGAUAUUAUACGACCUCGAACUUAAAAAUAUGAAUUCAGAAGCUCAAAAAUCUUUCUGGGAAGAAAGCGCUCAGAAGAGUAGAUUGCAGCCCAAACUCAAGACCAUAAUAUCUCGAAAUUCUUGAGACAAUACAUUCUCCAAUCAUACCAUACUCUACCCUUGACAAUACCCUCGCCAAUUCCUAUUCCUUAAAACGUUUCAUUAACGAGGACAACAAAUUGCAAAUACAAAUUUAUAGAUUAUAGAUAUCAUUGUAAUUUUGUUACAAGCAUUGAUUAUUAUAUUAGCAUAAUUAUUAACAUGAUUCUGAUAAUGAAUAAGCCUAAUGAAAUAUAAAAGGUCAUCCCAGAUUAAUCCAUGGUUAUUAACAUACUAUUAUUAAUUACACAAAAGGGAAUAUUGUCCUCGGAAAGAAUCUUGAAAUAAGAAUAUUCAAAAAUUAAAGAUCAUAACUCUUAUAAUAAAAUUACUAAAAUUAUAUUUCGAGACUAUUGCAAUAACAAAACUAUAAUCAUCCGCAGAAUUCAAGAUUUCCAAGGAAAUCAAGCAUCAUUGCAUGUGCAAAUAAUAAUAUAAUUAUAAGAAUUGAUCUACAUUCACCUUUUGUGUACUGUCAAUGGAUAGCACUACUAAUCAUUACUAACAAAUAUUAAAUAAUACUAUUGUUAAUCAUUAUUACAACCUUAUAUUAUCAUUCCUAUUACCAAUACGUUACCGAUUUUUAUGAACACUAUAUUACUUAUUAUAUUAUCAGUUCUUAUAUAUAUUGUCAACUUUAUAUAUUACCAAUUAUUAUAUGGUGUCGAUGAUAUAUUAUGUCGUUUUAUAUUAUUCUUAUCGAUUCGCUUAUAAUAUGCACGCCCAAUGUAAUACAACUACCAGUAACACGUACUCUAGAGAACUAUCUUAUAAACUGAUAAGGAAGGAAAGAAACUCCGUCGCGCUCGCACCUGAAUGUGUACAUAUAAAUAUGUGUAUAUCAGCAUACUGAAAAUUAACGAAUUAUUAAAUAGACCAUCUGAAAAUUUUUAUUCCCCAAAAAUGAUUUAUAAACAAAUAGGAAAUAGCCAGAAAAUUAUAACGUAAUAUCUUGAUAAAUUAAUAACUUUGACUGCAAGUAGAAUCGUAGCAUUAGAAGCCGAUGUUGUGAAGGCCUUGCCGAGAGUCACGUCUCGGGAGAUGCGACAUAUGAUAUAUGCUGGCACACUGACACAUAUAUAUAUGUAUACACAUUCCAAUCUCCGAUCACCUGAAAAUUAAAUUUAAGGCUUUUGCUUUACGCAAAGGAAUAUUGUUCUAUAAUUAAGAAAACAUUUACAUAUUUUGUUUAAUAACUUCCUUCAAACAAGAAUAUAUAUAUAUAUUUUUUUUUCCUUUUUUUUUCUUUUUUUCCUACUCCUUUUAUUUGUAAUAAUUUAACAUAUAUUUGGACGAACAUUAGAAAUUUUGACUUUAUAAAACCAAAUAUAUUAGUUCAGAAUUAUUAUGAAACCUUGUUGAGGAGAAACCGACCCCAGAUAAUAAGCAAAUCAGGUAUCAGGUGAAGUAAAUAUUCUUGUUUGAAAUAUCUCUAUCAGCUCGAGUAGAGUAAGGAUAUGUAAGCGCAAAGCUUGUAGUAAGAUUUAGAAUUGCGAAUAAACAAACAAUAGUCACUAAUACAUAGUCUUAUAAACACUGAAUAUUUACGACGACAAAUUAAACUAACCGACAAACAAUAAUUUAAAAUCAAUUUUGUAAACAGGUUAAUCAAUCGACCACUGCACAUAUUCGCUCAUGCUCUAAUACGAUCGAUCGUUUUGUUUUACUUUAUUGCUAUUCUUAUUUUAUCCUUAGCGAUAACUAGUAAACAAUAAUAAUUAUUUUAAAAUUCUUAAAUAAUUCUAUGCCAUUGCGCCACUCCACCGAUAACUAUGAUUCACUCAAGAAAACGGAAUAAUCAAAUUGAUUAACUCGAUUGAUUAACUUGCGGCCGACCUACACCGUGAGUAGCGUAUCUACCACAUGUAUGUUCAUUCACACCGAUUAUCACGCUCACUGAUGUAUUCUUGCGGCGCGUAAGGCGAUAACUCGUGGGGGCUACCCGAGCAUCUUGGGCGCCAAUUGUUAACCGAAUUGGAACCACCCCUAUACAAAAUCCAAAAUGUAAUUCACAUAAAAUAUAUAACCGAAAAUUAAUCGAUAGUUUAAUAACUAAAUUUAAUUAUAAAUUUAGAUUAUGCAUCCUUAAAAUUAAGAUUUUUUACCGUUUAAAUUACACCAUGAAAAUUUUCGAUCGACUUAGAUCGCGAAUCCUGUUGGAUCACCAUCAGGGACGACCUAUUUUUACACCAUGCGACGAGGUCGGUUGUCACGUACACUUCAAAGAAAAGCCGCAUUAUGCAUCCGACUAGCUAAGAUAGCCAUGGAGGGGUAAGGGAGGCUCGAUCUAUGUGCAUCUAAGGGUAUAUAAACCCUGCAAUUAAGACCGACACGCUUUUAUGCCGUUUUGAUUCGUGCGUGUACUUCGUGUGCAUAGUCGUGUCUUGCAGAACAAAGUCUUAGAGCGAACCUGAAAGAGCAACUUCGAUUUUGAAGUCUUGAACCACCCCUGUUCCUCACUGCUAUCUUGGUAAGUCCGUUAACACGAAUUAUUGUACUACACUUCUCUUCUGCUUUUGUUCAAGUAGCCUUAUUAUAAUACCCUGUAACCCUAUUUUAUACAUAUAAAAGUAUAAUUAUUAACACAAUAAAUAAAUCUUGAAACUAUAAUCAAUGAUAAUUAUUUAUCGUUCUGAGAAGCCUAUACAGUGUCCUUAAGCCGUAUACUAAGCGACGCGCAGAGUCAAACUAUAAAGUAGUCCUUUUGAGUUACCAUCAUAAUUCCGCGUGUUUGCAACUCAGCCAGGUUUUUCCAUCGAACCCUCUUUCACUAGGCCAAUAGAUCUCUCCUUUCUUCUGUCUCUCUUUCCCUCUCCCUUUCCUAAAGCUCACUAUCGACAUUCUUGCUUUUAAAUCCUUAAUUUUAAGAAUUAUUUUUAAGACUCUAUCUCUGGUGCGAUAGUGGGUGAGCAAGCGCUCAUCUGCCGACGGCGAGGCUCCGCCACGCCCGAAUAUCGCCGCUUCCUUUCUUUAAUUUUAAGAAUUAUUUUAAGUUUCCAUAUCCUCUUUCUGGUGCGAUAGUGUAGGUGAACAGGCGUUCAUCUGCCAAUUGCGAGGCUCUGCCACGCAUGUAUAUCGCCGCUUCCUUUUUAAUUUUAAGAAUUAUUUUAAGUUUUCAUAUUCUCUUUCUGGUGCGAUAGUGUAGGUGAACAAGCGUUCAUCUGCCAAUUGCGAGGGUCUGCCACGCAUGUAUAUCGCCGCUUCCUUUUUAAUUUUAAGAAUUAUUUUAAGUUUUCAUAUUCUAUCUCUGGUGCGAUAGUGGGUGAGCAAGCGCUCAUCUGCCGACGGCAAGGCUCAGCCGCGCCCGAAUAUCGCCGCUUCCUUUCUCGUUUUAAGAAUUAUUUUAAGUUUUCAUAUUCUCUUUCUGGUGCGAUAGUGUAGGUGAACAAGCGUUCAUCUGCCAAUUGCGAGGCUCUGCCACGCAUGUAUAUCGCCGCUUCCUUUUUAAUUUUAAGAAU